AAAUGGAUAAACCCAAGAGAAGAUUCUUGCUAAGCAUUAGGUUUAGAGAGUUGCCUUUGAUAACUGUGACUUUAAGAACCUUAAGGAAGAGGGGCUGGGGAUUUAGCUCAGUGGUUCCACCGCUUGCCUUGUAAGCACAAGGACCCGAGUUCGAUCCCCGGUACCGAAAAAAAAAAAGAACCUUAAGGAAGAGAACGGAGCAGAAUCAGUGAGCAAGCAAAUGCUCAGUAGAUGCCAGGAAUACUCAAGUGGGGUCCACUCAAAUUCAGGUGUGUCUGCCAUCCUCUCUGUUCAUGCAGAGUGGAGCCUGGCAUACAUUUGGGGUUGUUCAGAAAGAAGCCCCACGAAGACCAUUUUUAAAAUACAGAGGAUCACUAUCCUCCUUUAUCCACAAUACAAGGAUCCUUAAGUUUAAAUUCAUACAUAUAUUUUUUUGGUACUGGGGAUCGAACUCGGGACCUUGCACUUUCGAGGCAGGCGCCAGAACCACUGAGCUAAAUCCCCGGCCCUAAAUUCAUAUUUUUUGAAAACCAAAAGAACAUAGCUAUUUGAUUAUAAAACUGGAAGCAUUUUUGGUUCAAGACUUUUCAAUAAUUAUUUGUUUGGUCAAAAUUAUUAAGUGGGAAGAAAAGCAGAAAUAAUAAAAUCUAAUAGUUUAAAAUGAAAUAUAAAUGUAUUUUAUUUCUAAGAAAAAUGAGGCUGUUGAAGCAAGAUUUUAAAGUGAUUUUUAGGCAGCCUUGGGAGGACCAUGAUAGACAUUCUUGAAAAUCCCAUAUAAAGGAUUUAAAAUUUUCUUUAUGAAGGAUUUAUAAGCAUUGGAACUUUGAGGCCUGACUUAGAAGUGAGAUCUCAUUUUGUUUCAUUUCAUUUUAGAAGAUGAAAUUUAGUGGGAUUUUAGCCUUUCAUUCAGUCAGUAUUAGGUUUAUGUUAAAUUUUUAAAAAUCAAUAUCAUGGGAAAGAUUUGACCAGUAAUUUAGUGUCUUGAACUGAAAAAUAGGAGUAACAUUUUGUCGCAUUUUGAAAAAUCUGCUUAAAUAACUGCAGCAGUUUUCUGGGUUCGGAGAUGGCUGUUCUAAUUGUCACUUUUAAGUGGGUCAUCGGGCUGGUUUACUAUCGGACUGUAAUCCGAGGCAGAGGUUUUAAUGUUUACCUACUUCCAGAUUUAAGAAAUGAAAACUACAUGAGGAUAUUAUGGGCAUUCUUCAUGAGAAAAGCAUUUCCUGGACAGAGAAUGGGGAUGUGUGAAUAGAAUGGGAGCUUUGACCUUCCCUGGGCACAGAAGUCACCUGGCACAUCCAGUGCAGGCUUGCGCUAUACCUCAGGACCACAUGCCCUCGUACUUCUUUUUCUUUAACACAAAGAACUCCCCCCCAGAGCUGUUAUUUUAAGUUAUUGCCAAAUAGUAUUUUGUGUUUUUCACCAUCUAGAGAGAAAACAUUAAAAGAGGACGUCUCCAUUUUUAUUUGUUAGAUAUGAAAUGCUGAAUUUUUUUCAGUAUUAGUAUUCUAAUGUUUCUUUUCGUGAAUAAAACUACUUUUACCUUUACUGAGUCUUUACGACCCACUGUCAACAACAGCAUAUUCUUUCUUUAAACCAGUGGUCCCAGAAGAGACCAUCUGAAACUCCAGCACUAGUUUUUAGAAGCUCUGACCUUGUUAUCUAAAUUCUAAGAAACCUAACGCAUGGUGUCUGGAAGAGCAGGGCAGAGCAGUAGUUUGUGCUCAGUUCAAUGAAAAGUGCUGGAGCUCCCCGAGACACUGCAUUGCCCGGACGCAAGCUCACUGGCUUUUGAGCCUGUGGUGCAGGCGGCUGCAAGUCUAAGGUGUUCUGUAUUGGUGUUGUGGUGAGAGUUGUACAACACUGCCUCUGUGUGUCAGGCCAGUCAUUCGAUUCACUUUUAAAAUGCACAUAUCUUUGGAGAGGCGAAUUAUUCUACACAAAUAUACCCUGGAGCCCAUCGUUUAGAAUCCAUAUAGAUCUAUUACCAUCUACACUAAAAAUAUUGUACUUGCAUAACUUAGUUUGUAGAAAACAGAAUAUGUAUUUCUUCAAUAGCCAGGUGUUUGGGUUGUACUCUCGAUAUACUUGAUUGUACUCUUGGGUUUAAGUGCACUAUUAUUCACGUCUUACACAUAAAAUUGCACUGUAUGGCGAAUGUAUCUUAACAUAUGCUUUGCUGAAACCUCAGAGCUAUAAGGUACAGGUUUUUAUAUUGUGAACCUAAAUGUGUAUGUAUGUGUGUGUGUGUAUGUGUGUGUGUGUGUUUAUAUAUAGCCUUAGGGAAAAUUCUGAACUUUUGUAAGUGUGUAACCUUUUAAUAUUCUUCGUAAUGUUCACUAAGUGAUAAGUUCACUUAUGUCCUGUAACUGGAAUCAGUCACCUGGAGUUGGCUGGUUUGUCGAGCUUAGUUUACUGAGUCAAGAAGCAGUCUUGUUGAAUGUGAUGCUGUUCUUACUGUGUAGUACUCGUGUGUGGUGUUCUCCCUCAGCCUCAGAGGCAAACAUGUUGCACAGAUAGAUGCUAGUGUUAAAGUUCUAUAGACAAUGGUAAUAAAAUUUGAAUAUAUUCAAUGCUGAUAAAUCCG
RNAcentral lists this long non-coding RNA (2584 nucleotides) under Heterocephalus glaber (naked mole-rat). RNAcentral describes it as "lncRNA (ENSHGLG00000038955.1)". Lineage: Eukaryota; Metazoa; Chordata; Mammalia; Rodentia; Bathyergidae. The record is from RNAcentral.